This 23-nucleotide microRNA is filed under the name Caenorhabditis remanei. Its description in RNAcentral is "crm-miR-359". Its record names the gene crm-miR-359. Lineage: Eukaryota; Metazoa; Nematoda; Chromadorea; Rhabditida; Rhabditidae. The record is from miRBase by way of RNAcentral.
UCACUGGUUUUCCUCUGACUAAU